Molecule: ribosomal RNA, 421 nt
Filed under: Fusobacteriota bacterium
Lineage: Bacteria; Fusobacteriati; Fusobacteriota
Description: Fusobacteria bacterium partial 16S ribosomal RNA
Rfam family: Bacterial small subunit ribosomal RNA
Source: RNAcentral
UGGGGAAUAUUGCACAAUGGACGGAAGUUUGAUGCAGCGACGCCGCGUGGAGGGUGUAGGCCUUCGGGUUGUGAACUCCUUUUUCUCGCGAAAAAGGCACAGUUUUGGCUGUGUCGAUGGUAGUGGGGGAAGAAGCGCCGGCUAACUACGUGCCAGCAGCCGCGGUAAUACGUAGGGCGCGAGCGUUGUCCGGAUUUAUUGGGCGUAAAGAGCUCGUAGGUGGUUCGUCGCGUCUGUCGUGGAAGCCAGCAGCUUAACUGUUGGUCUGCGGUGGGUACGGGCGGGCUUGAGUGCGGUAGGGGUGACUGGAAUUCCUGGUGUAGCGGUGGAAUGCGCAGAUAUCAGGAGGAACACCGAUGGCGAAGGCAGGUCACUGGGCCGUUACUGACACUGAGGAGCGAAAGCGUGGGGAGCGAACAGG